Molecule: ribosomal RNA, 266 nt
Filed under: uncultured bacterium
Lineage: Bacteria
Description: partial small subunit ribosomal RNA
Rfam family: Bacterial small subunit ribosomal RNA
Source: RNAcentral
AGGACGAACGCUGGCGGCGUGCCUAACACAUGCAAGUGGAGCGACGAACCAGGCUUCGGCCUGGGGCAAAGCCGCGAACGGGUGAGUAACACGUGGGUAACCUGCCCCGAUGACCGGGACAACCCGAGGAAACUCGGGCUAAUACCGGAUGUGUCCUCCGGCCAUAAGGCCGCUGGGGAAAGGAAGCUUCGGCCUCCGCAUCGGGAUGGGCCCGCGGCCGAUUAGUUAGUUGGCGGGGUAAUGGCCCACCAAGACAGUGAUCGGUA